GGAAGUAAAAGUCGUAACAAGGUUUCCGUAGGUGAACCUGCGGAAGGAUCAUUACCAAAUCCAAAUCUCAACCCCAUGUGAACUGUUGUUUGUCUGUCUUUGGGGGUGGCGAUGUGUGAGACACCUCUCUUGCAUUUGCCGCCCCCAAUAGAAUCCGGCACUCCGGUGCCUGGGUUCUAUACUGACUAAACCACUUUUCAAACUUUGUUGGAAUAUCUUUUAUUAAUACUAAUAAAAGACAACUUUUAACGGUGGAUCUCUUGGCUCGUGGAUCGAUGAAGAACGCAGCAAACUGCGAUACGUAGUGUGAAUUGCAGAAUUCAGUGAAUCAUCGAAUCUUUGAACGCAAAUUGCGCUGCCGGGUAUUCCUGACAGCAUGCUUGGCUGAGUAUCAUCUGGACAAAUCACACAUCUUUUUGUGUGGAAAUGAGGCGUCACAUCUCUCACGGGGAUGGGUCCCUUUAAAUGCAGGCAGGUGAAGGAUAUUGGCGUCCUUGAACCACUAGCGUGGCAAUUGUCCUCUGGGCAUCAAGCGCUAUGUCGGGGCUUGGGCAACAAAGCCGGUGUCUCUAAUCCUCUCAUACAACUCUUGAUUGAAACUUUGAUCUCAGCUCAAGUAAGACUACCCGCUGAAUUUAAGCAUAUCAAUAAGCGGAGG
RNAcentral lists this ribosomal RNA (658 nucleotides) under uncultured fungus. RNAcentral's name for it is "eukaryotic LSU rRNA". The stretch from base 241 to 394 matches the Rfam family "5.8S ribosomal RNA". Lineage: Eukaryota; Fungi. The record is from RNAcentral.